GCCCCCCACUCAACGGGGGGUAAACGGCGGUCCUACUCUGAGGAUCCUAAGGUAGCAUAAUAAGUUGGCGUUUAAUUGGCGUCUUGUAUGAAGGGGCACACGUGGGAACGACUGUCUCAUGUUUAACUAUUGAAACUAACCUGUAAGUGAAAAGGCUUGCAUGUGUAAGAGGGACGACAAGACCCUACGAAGCUUUACUGUCACUUUCGAUAAUAAAAAAAUAGCGGUAGUGAAGUUUUGUUGGGGCAACAGGGGGGAAAUGUACCAUCCGAUUUCAUCCUAGUAUUAUGUCUGGAUUGGUGUAUUCUUUAUCUUACGUGAAGUGGCCACUAAUUUAGUGAAAACGAUUAAGUUACUCUAGGGAUAACAGCACAAUACCCUCAUAGAGUCCUUAUCGACGAGGGUGCUUGUGACCUCGAUGUCGGCUUAGCGUAACCUCCAGGCGGAGCAGCUUGG
Molecule: ribosomal RNA, 456 nt
Filed under: Botula sp. UF 422939
Lineage: Eukaryota; Metazoa; Mollusca; Bivalvia; Mytilida; Modiolidae
Description: partial large subunit ribosomal RNA
Rfam family: Bacterial large subunit ribosomal RNA
Source: RNAcentral